This 1160-nucleotide long non-coding RNA is filed under the name Eucalyptus grandis. RNAcentral describes it as "long non-coding RNA (EGRA_LNC000306)". Lineage: Eukaryota; Viridiplantae; Streptophyta; Magnoliopsida; Myrtales; Myrtaceae. The record is from RNAcentral.
UGGAAUCAAUAAAUUCAACCGAGAAAGGGAGGAAACACACAAAAAACUUCAGUAAUGCAUUUCAGCUGACUUAUAAAAAAACCAAAAGGUACACCUGCUCUCCCAUAAUCCUAACUCAAAAAACAAAAAAUCCUGUAAUUAUUCCAAGCCAGCAUUUUGACUAGUUACAUAAGAACGCAAAUCAAAUGCGUCGACCCUUCCACUAGAACUCACUCUCCCAUGUCUAUUCAUAGCUGUAUGGCUUGUCACUUGAGGAAAUAAGGCCCGUCUAAUUCUUAAUGGAACCAAACUGUGGCUGCUUAAUUUCGCCCAGAGGUUACAACUGAAUGAUACACUUAACAAAUCAGCCAUUAUGACUCGCCACCUCCAAACAUACCCAUCAUAUCCUUGCCAGAACCCAUUUGCUUCAUCAAGUUAUUUCCAGCCAAAGUGGUCAAUCUCAAAAGGGCCAACCUUGCUUUCUACAGCCCCCAUGUCCUUUCUGGUGCUGAACUGGUGGUGCUCACUGUCACUGCUCAGCAAAUUGCAUUCUUUACUAAGCCCAUGACCUGUAUUACCUCACCAGAACCACAGGACAGAUAAGUGGUCGGGUGGUGGGUGUGAGGCGGUCAGGCGCGAAUGUUCCAGCGUACAGGACAAGCCGGUGCCGGAUCUCGAGCCGGAGGGGGGCGCGGUGGUUCGCCGGUCGGAAAGAAGGAGGGCAGCAGAGAGAGAGGGAAGUCGCGGUCCUCUCGCCGGUCCCGUGCGGUGGUUCGUCGGUUUCAAGUAAUCGUUCGCCGGUCGGAAAGAAGGAGGGCAGCAGAGAGAGAUGGAAGUCGCGGUCCUCUCGCCGGUCCCGUGCGGUGGUUCGUCGGUUGCAGGCAAUCGUUCGCCGGUCGGAAAGAAGGAGGGCAGCAGAGAGAGAGGGAAGUCGCGGUCCUCUCGCCGGUCCCGUGCGGUGGUUCGUCGGUUUCAGGUAAUCGUUCGCCGGUCGGAAAGAAGGAGGGCAGCAGAGAGAGAUGGAAGUCGCGUUCCUCUCGCCGGUCCCGUGCAGUGGUUCGUCGGUUGCAGGCAAUCGUUCGCCGGUCGGAAAGAGAGAGGGCAGAGAGAGAGGGAGGUCGCAGAGAGGGACUUCGUCGGGAGAGAGAGCGAGUGUAGAGAGAGAGGCGCAAUAAAAGAAC